RNAcentral lists this ribosomal RNA (758 nucleotides) under uncultured bacterium. Its description in RNAcentral is "bacterial SSU rRNA". It matches the Rfam family "Bacterial small subunit ribosomal RNA", at positions 8 to 760 of the family's 1533-position model. The record is from RNAcentral.
AGAGUUUGAUCAUGGCUCAGAGUGAACGCUGGCGGCAGGCCUAACACAUGCAAGUCGAGCGGCAGCGGGUCCUUCGGGAUGCCGGCGAGCGGCGGACGGGUGAGGAAUGCGUCGGAAUCUGCCUCUUUGUGGGGGAUAACGUAGGGAAACUUACGCUAAUACCGCAUACGACCUACGGGUGAAAGCCGGGGACCUUCGGGCCUGGCGCAGAGAGAUGAGCCGACGUCGGAUUAGCUAGUUGGCGGGGUAAAGGCCCACCAAGGCGACGAUCCGUAGCUGGUCUGAGAGGAUGAUCAGCCACACUGGAACUGAGACACGGUCCAGACUCCUACGGGAGGCAGCAGUGGGGAAUAUUGGACAAUGGGCGCAAGCCUGAUCCAGCCAUGGCCGCGUGUGUGAAGAAGGCCUUCGGGUUGUGAAGCACUUUUGUCCGGAAAGAAAUCCUGUCGGUUAAUACCCGGCGGGGAUGACGGUACCGGAAGAAUAAGCACCGGCUAACUUCGUGCCAGCAGCCGCGGUAAUACGAAGGGUGCAAGCGUUACUCGGAAUUACUGGGCGUAAAGCGUGCGUAGGUGGUUUGUUAAGUCUGAUGUGAAAGCCCUGGGCUCAACCUGGGAACUGCAUUGGAUACUGGCUUACUAGAGUGCGGUAGAGGGGUGCGGAAUUCCCGGUGUAGCAGUGAAAUGCGUAGAUAUCGGGAGGAACAUCCGUGGCGAAGGCGGCACCCUGGACCAGCACUGACACUGAGGCACGAAAGC